Molecule: ribosomal RNA, 891 nt
Filed under: Leptosillia cordylines
Lineage: Eukaryota; Fungi; Ascomycota; Sordariomycetes; Xylariales; Leptosilliaceae
Description: Leptosillia cordylinea partial large subunit ribosomal RNA
Rfam family: Eukaryotic large subunit ribosomal RNA
Source: RNAcentral
CCCGCUGAACUUAAGCAUAUCAAUAAGCGGAGGAAAAGAAACCAACAGGGAUUCCCCUAGUAACGGCGAGUGAAGCGGGAACAGCUCAAAUUUGAAAUCUGGCCCUCGGGUCCGAGUUGUAAUUUGUAGAGGAUGCUUUUGGUGCGGUGCCUUCCGAGUUCCCUGGAACGGGACGCCUUAGAGGGUGAGAGCCCCGUACGGUUGGACGCCUAGCCUCUGUAAAGCUCCUUCGACGAGUCGAGUAGUUUGGGAAUGCUGCUCUAAAUGGGAGGUAAAUUUCUUCUAAAGCUAAAUACCGGCCAGAGACCGAUAGCGCACAAGUAGAGUGAUCGAAAGAUGAAAAGCACUUUGAAAAGAGGGUUAAAUAGCACGUGAAAUUGUUAAAAGGGAAGGGUUUAUGACCAGACUUGUGUCUGGGGGAUCAUCCGGUGUUCUCACCGGUGCACUUCCCCCAGUUGAGGCCAGCAUCGGUUUUCGGAGGGGGAUAAAAGCUUCGGGAAUGUGACUCCCUCGGGAGUGUUAUAGCCCGUUGCAUAAUACCCUUCUGGGGACCGAGGUUCGCGCAUCUGCAAGGAUGCUGGCGUAAUGGUGAUCAACGACCCGUCUUGAAACACGGACCAAGGAGUCGAACAUUUAUGCGAGUGUUUGGGUGUCAAACCCUCACGCGUAAUGAAAGUGAACGGAGGUGAGAGCCCUUUACGGGUGCAUCAUCGACCGAUCCUGAUGUCUUCGGAUGGAUUUGAGUAAGAGCAUAAAUGUCCGGACCCGAAAGAUGGUGAACUAUGCGUGGAUAGGGUGAAGCCAGAGGAAACUCUGGUGGAGGCUCGCAGCGGUUCUGACGUGCAAAUCGAUCGUCAAAUCUGCGCAUGGGGGCGAAAGACUAAUCGAACC